GACGAACGCUGGCGGCGUGCUUAACACAUGCAAGUCGAACGGAAAGGCCCUGCUUUUGUGGGGUGCUCGAGUGGCGAACGGGUGAGUAACACGUGAGUAACCUGCCCUUGACUUUGGGAUAACUUCAGGAAACUGGGGCUAAUACCGGAUAGGAGCUCCUGCUGCAUGGUGGGGGUUGGAAAGUUUCGGCGGUUGGGGAUGGACUCGCGGCUUAUCAGCUUGUUGGUGGGGUAGUGGCUUACCAAGGCUUUGACGGGUAGCCGGCCUGAGAGGGUGACCGGCCACAUUGGGGCUGAGAUACGGCCCAGACUCCUACGGGAGGCAGCAGUGGGGAAUAUUGCACAAUGGGCGGAAGCCUGAUGCAGCAACGCCGCGUGCGGGAUGACGGCCUUCGGGUUGUAACCGCUUUCGCCUGUGACGAAGCGUGAGUGACGGUAAUGGGUAAAGAAGCACCGGCUAACUACGUG
RNAcentral lists this ribosomal RNA (467 nucleotides) under uncultured bacterium. RNAcentral's name for it is "partial 16S ribosomal RNA". It matches the Rfam family "Bacterial small subunit ribosomal RNA", at positions 28 to 507 of the family's 1533-position model. The record is from RNAcentral.